RNAcentral lists this non-coding RNA (118 nucleotides) under uncultured Roseburia sp. Its description in RNAcentral is "THF riboswitch". It matches the Rfam family "THF (Tetrahydrofolate) riboswitch aptamer". Rfam says of the family: THF riboswitch presents a pseudoknot that joins P1-P2 and the loop of P3 and two THF binding. The record is from RNAcentral. Lineage: Bacteria; Bacillati; Bacillota; Clostridia; Lachnospirales; Lachnospiraceae.
GCAGAGUAGAAUUUUGUGCGUUAAGUGCCGUGUGAACAGGGAGUUGUCACGCGGACGAAAAACAGAAGUUUCUGUUACAGAGUUUUCUGUUUGCGGUACAGAGUUCGCAUCCCGCUGC